AAAAGUGAAAGACGGUCUUGCUGUCACUUAUAGAUGGAUCCGCGCUGCAUUAGCUAGUUGGUAAGGUAACGGCUUACCAAGGCAACGAUGCAUAGCCGACCUGAGAGGGUGAUCGGCCACACUGGAACUGAGACACGGUCCAGACUCCUACGGGAGGCAGCAGUAGGGAAUCUUCCGCAAUGGGCGAAAGCCUGACGGAGCAACGCCGCGUGAGUGAUGAAGGUCUUCGGAUCGUAAAACUCUGUUAUUAGGGAAGAACAUAUGUGUAAGUAACUGUGCACAUCUUGACGGUACCUAAUCAGAAAGCCACGGCUAACUACGUGCCAGCAGCCGCGGUAAUACGUAGGUGGCAAGCGUUAUCCGGAAUUAUUGGGCGUAAAGCGCGCGUAGGCGGUUUUUUAAGUCUGAUGUGAAAGCCCACGGCUCAACCGUGGAGGGUCAUUGGAAACUGGAAAACUUGAGUGCAGAAGAGGAAAGUGGAAUUCCAUGUGUAGCGGUGAAAUGCGCAGAGAUAUGGAGGAACACCAGUGGCGAAGGCGACUUUCUGGUCUGUAACUGACGCUGAUGUGCGAAAGCGUGGGGAUCAAACAGGAUUAGAUACCCUGGUA
This 608-nucleotide ribosomal RNA is filed under the name Staphylococcus aureus. RNAcentral describes it as "bacterial SSU rRNA". It matches the Rfam family "Bacterial small subunit ribosomal RNA", at positions 196 to 792 of the family's 1533-position model. The record is from RNAcentral. Lineage: Bacteria; Bacillati; Bacillota; Bacilli; Caryophanales; Staphylococcaceae.